GAGCUGGUGGAAGGACAGAGGUCCUGUUUGCUGAAAUGGGGAAAACUCCUGGAAAGCUGAAUUGAAGAGGAAGAUAAGGAGUUCAAAUUUGUCCAUGUGAAGUUGAGAUGCCUGUUAAUGCUCAUGUUCAACAGCAUACAGAUGGCAUUUCUCAGCCUCUCCUGAACCCAAAGAGAUCUUUCUUGUUCUCUCUUUUCUCAUGAAUACCAGAAGGCCAAUGCUGAAGAUCUUGAUGUUACAGAUGAAAGGAACCUGGAUCCCUGAGUUACUUUUAGGAGGAAGUAAGUCCAGCAGUGUUGCCCACUUACUUUGGACUAUGAUGUGAACAGAAAAUAAAAUUUUUAUUUUGUUAAUGCA
Long non-coding RNA from Cervus elaphus (red deer), 357 nucleotides. RefSeq lists it as uncharacterized. The record is from RefSeq and is a predicted model, not a curated record. Lineage: Eukaryota; Metazoa; Chordata; Mammalia; Artiodactyla; Cervidae. The transcript has 2 exons.